AUAUCAUUAAUAUUGACUAAAUACAUCAUUAUUCUACCCUAAAUCUUAAACUUUAAUUCCUUCACAUAUGCAUAUCAUUAUAACAAACAAGAAUUUAAAUAUCGUGAUAUUGGAUCACGUCAAAAACGUACCGACAUGGCGUGUACCGGACUGUAUUAAUGCAUGCCGACCACAAAAUUAAAAUACAUAUAUGCUGAUACAUAAUAACAUGAAAUAUUAACUUUUUUUUAGCAACAGAUAUUAUAACUAUUCAUUAUAUAUUUUUAUUAAAUCUUUUAAAUUUUAUUAAAAAAUUAAUUACUAAUUUAAAUAAUAGAGGAGCUUUAAUUUGUGCUAUCAGUACGGAGAUUGGAUUGUAUUGA
This 362-nucleotide long non-coding RNA is filed under the name Ananas comosus (pineapple). Its description in RNAcentral is "long non-coding RNA (ACOM_LNC044730)". Lineage: Eukaryota; Viridiplantae; Streptophyta; Magnoliopsida; Poales; Bromeliaceae. The record is from RNAcentral.